Molecule: Y RNA, 109 nt
Filed under: Microcebus murinus (gray mouse lemur)
Lineage: Eukaryota; Metazoa; Chordata; Mammalia; Primates; Cheirogaleidae
Description: Y RNA (ENSMICG00000045407.1)
Rfam family: Y RNA
About the family: Y RNAs are components of the Ro ribonucleoprotein particle (Ro RNP), in association with Ro60 and La proteins. The Y RNAs and Ro60 and La proteins are well conserved, but the function of the Ro RNP is not known.
Source: Rfam by way of RNAcentral
GGCUGGUCCGAAGGUAGUGAGUUGUCUCAAUUGAUCAUUAACAGUCAGUUACAGAUCGAACUUGUUCUACUCUUCCCCUGUUCUCACUACUGCACUUGACUAGUCUUAA